AGAAAUCCCUUAGCUUACCACAGAGCAGAACCCCCAGAGGACCAGGACUCCCAAUGUCCCCCCAUUCCCCACCCGCCAGGAGAGAGCUUACCUCUCCCUCUUCCCAGCUGAGACCCUUCUGUGUCCCUUUCUGCACCUCUGCCCCGCCGCCCCCUCUAGCUCUCAUGCCUUCAUAUUUCCCCUGCCUUACUCCUCCUUUCCACCCAGCUCAGCCCUGUCCUUCCUAAACCCUCCUUCAGGCUUGGUGUCUUUCAGUAGCCAAAUAAAUUUCAGAGCACGGAGAUGGGAGCCAGCACAGAUGAGGUCCAGGCAUUUUUUAAGGGGUAGAGUGAGAUCAGGAGUCACCCUGUUUCUUCCCUCCCCACCCAGACUCCACACAGCCCUGGGCUGUGAAUCACUGAUUCAAAAGGGCCAUGAAGUUAGGCAAAGGUGCAGAACUGUUAUGGGGCUGGAGGAACAUGCAGGUGGCAUGAGGGCCAUUUGGGUGACAGCAAGAGGAAGCAGCGCUGCUCACUCCUUCUCCAGUCCAGGGCCCCGUGAUGGAUUUCACCUUGGACAUUUGCCUUUGGAACGGUUGCUCCUUGCCAAGAGCACUCCCCCAGAGACAGAUGGAGAAGGAGACAGCUCCGUGGUUCCCGUUCUGGGACUGGCCUUUUGCCUCCUGCCUCCCACAGCUCAGGUGGAGAGAGGAGGGCCCUGCCCUUACCGACUGGAGAGCAUCAGGUAGGACUGCUGCUUAGCAAGAAUAAAACUGAAUUUCUGCAGAUUUGGCCUGGGCCUGCUCUCACUUGAGAUGUGUCAGGGGAACAGGAGAAGAGACAAUAAUAGUAAAGUGGUAUCGACGUAGCGUUAAUACUUUCCUCUUUGUUAUGACUAUUCGUAUGUCUUUUCAAAUUUAAUCUUCACAGUAACUAACUGAAACAGCUUUUGUGUUCCCUUCUCACAGAUCAAGAAACUGAGGGUCAGUGAGGCUAGGAUGACACGGAUGUGGAGGAAGGGCUGGCUUUCCAGCCUGUCUUCUGACAUUAAAUCUGUGUGUCUUUUAUGAUGCAUCAAGGAGGAACGCAUCUCCCCCAUGGCUUCCUCUCACUUUUGUUUCUUCAAAAGAGAUAGAGUGUGGCUCAGAUUAGGGCAGCUCAUCCUUUUCCAGUGGUGGAUGCCAAGGGAGAGAGUUUAGCCUGAAGGAAGGGUUGUCGUGCUGAGCCAAGAUCAGGGUCUACACCAGGCAGACUCGAAGUGGGAAGUCACACUUACAAGGGAGCGGGUGGCCAGCCAGCCCCCUUUGCUGUGCUUGGAAGAGAAUAGCAGUGAAACAGUCUCUCCACAAAGCACUGGGAUAUGGUUUGACUGUGUCUCCACCCAAAUCUCAUCUUGAAUUGUAGCUCCUAUAAUUCCCACAUAUCACGGGAGGAUCCUGGUGGGAGGUAAUUGAAUCAUAAGGUCAGAUCUUUCCUGUGCUGUUCUCAUGAUAGUGAAUAAAUCUCAUAAGAUCUGAUGGUUUUAUAAAGCAGAGUUCCCCUACACAAGCUCUCUUGCCUGCCACCAUGUGAGACGUGACUUUGCUCGUCAUUUGCCUUCCUCCAUGAUUGCGAGGCCUCCCCAGCCAUAUGGAACUGUGAGUCAAUUAAACUACUUUCUUUUAUAAAUUACCCAGUCUCAGGUAUGUCUUUAUUAGCAGUGUGAGAACAGACUAAUACACAUUUAAAUCUUCAGUAAUCAUCAUGCUCUGGGUAACACACAGUCACAUAAGACUAGAAUUCAAGAGAAAGGAAAGAAAGUAGCAUUUUUGAGGUCUCCUGUGCAGUAGGCAUGGAACUAGGGAGUUCACAUAUUUUGUUUGAUUUUCAUAACAGCCUUAUAAGAUGGGCUUUACUAUCCUCAUUUCAGAAGAGAUUGAGGCCCAGAAAGAUUAGAUAAUUUGCCUGUGGUCUCAUUGCUAGUAAAUAGUGGAGGUAUAAUUCAAAUCCCAGUUAUCUGUCCCUGCAUCUGUUAGUAAACUAGAAGCUGGUCUUUCACAUGUCUCCUGGAGAGUAGGGAGGUCUCUCUUCCAGAACCCAGGACAGUGCCUCACAGACCAUAGCUUAACCUGGUAACUUCUACUUCCUAACCCAUCCCGCACACAUCCUGAAGAUGUAGUGGGGCAAUAGGUAGAGUUAGCAGAAGGAGUUCAGGUUGUUAGUCAGAAAGAACCCCAGAGUUCCCCUCUGGCUUCAUGUCAAUCUUUUUUUUUUUUUUUUUUUUGAGUUGGAGUCUUGCUCUGUUGCCCAGGCUGGAGUGCAAUGGUGCAAUCUCGGCUCACUGCAACCUCUGCCUCCCAAGUUCAAGUGAUUCUCCUGCCUCAGCCUCCUGAGUAGCUGGGAUUACAGGUAUGCACCACCAUGCCCGGCUAAUUUUUGUAUCGUUAGUAGACACGGGGUUUCACCAUGUUGGCCAGGCUGGUCUUGAACUCCUGACCUCAGGUGAUCUGCCCACCUUGGCCUCCCAAAGUGCUGGGAUUACAAGUGUGAGCCACUGCUCCUGGCCAUCAGUGUUUAAAGACAGGCACUGUGCCUUUUUCACCUUUGAGUUACUGGUGGCUGACAAAUAGCAGGGGCUCAAGAAAGGUAAGCUACUGACUUUAACUGAGGAGACUUGUUUUUUUUUGUUUUUUUUUUGUUUUUUUUUUUGAGAUGGAGUCUCGCUCUUUCACCCAGGCCAGAGUGCAGUGGCGCUAUCUCAGCUCACUGCAAGCUCCGCCUCCCGGGUUCACACCAUUCUCCUGCCUCAGCCUCCCGAGUAUCUGGGACUACAGGCGCCCGCCACCACGCCCAGCUAAUUUUUUGUAUUUUUAGUAGAGACGGUAUUUCACUGUGUUAGCCAGGAUGGUCUCGAUCUCUGAGAAGACCUUAAGGUUAAGAUAUGAGAACUUCAAAAUCAUAGAAGCUACAGUUGCAGAUUGGCCAAAAGCAUAUAAAUUCACUGGACACAACCCAGUGAAAAAUAAUGAGGAAAGGGGAAUUGGGCAAUUGGAUGGAAGGCCUGGAAGUAGCUGCUACAGAAUGUGCAUCUGCAGGGAUUCAGGAGACCCGGGUUCUAGUCCCAGCUCUGCCACUCACCAGCUGGGGGAUCUUGGGCAAGGUGCUUCCUCCCUGUGAACCUCAGUUCAUUUAUUUGUAAAGUGAAGGAUGGGGGCCGUAUUCUAAGAUCCUUUUGAUUCCCACAUUCUGGGAGUUUUGAAUCAUUACUUGCCUAAACACCUUCCCAGAUUCCUGGGGAAAAGAUAAAGAAGGUUGUUUCUUUUUAAAAGCUUAUUUUUAAAAAAAUUGACAAGUAAAACUUGUGCCUAUUUAUGGCAUAUAACAUCAUGUUUUGAUAUAUGUAUACAGGCCAGCAUGGCUAAUUCAAACUAUUGAACAUAUGUAUUAUUUGACAUCCUUAUUUAAUGGUGGUUAAGAACAUGUAAAAUCUACUCUCUGAGCAAUUUUAAAAUAUAAGAUAUAUUGUUUUGAACUGUAGUUGCCCUGAUGUACAAUAGGUCUCCUGAACAUAUUCCUCCUGUCUAACUGAAGUUUUGUGUUCUUUGAUCAAUAUCUCCUCAAUCCUCCAACCCAACAGCCUCUGGGAUCCACCAUUUUACUCUGUUUCUAUGAGUUGGACUUUCUUACAUUCCACAUAUAAGUGACAUCACGCAGUCUUUAUCUUUCUAUGCCUGGCUUAUUUCACUUAACGUAAUGCCCUCCAGGUUCAUCUGAGAAGGUUGUCUCUAGAAACAGAAAAGAGUUUCACCUCCAACCAGGGUGACAGGAGCAGUCCUACCUGAGAGCCAGAGAUGGACUUGAUGGCAUGAGCCAGAUCUUUUCAAGUCUGGGGGUGUUGCUGGUUUGAAAGUGGACAUGGUACCCCAUUUCUAAACCUCAGGCUCUCUGGACAAUGCAGCUCAGCCUUCAGCUCCACCAGAGAGGCUGCAGUGUGUGAAGACAGCUCAUUCUGCGGGAGGAGGAAGAGCAGAGAAACCACCACCCUAUGGGUCGUUCUCAGAUCCCUCGUGUGCUGGCUGUCUCCCACCCAGGCUCAGUUUGCACUGCUAAUCUGUUACGUCUUUCUUGGGCAGCUGUUGUGGAGCCUGGUCCAUCCUGAGCACUCCAGUGUUCCAUUUCAAGGAUCUCUUCCUGGCUCCCCUCCCACCAGAGAAUGUGGCCUUGGGAUCAAGGCGUGGAGAGCUGCCAGCUACUGCCACCUGCCACAAAGCCUCAUCACCCUUGCGUAUCUCUCUCCCCUCUCCGUCCUCGGCAUGGGGUCACAUUGUGGGUCAUUAUUUCCUUUCACCAAGGUAUGAGCAGAGGGAGAGAGGGCUGGAAAAAGAGACUCUCCCUUUGCUAACUGAUGAGGGAGAAGUAUGGGGUCCAAGUGGGCCUGCCCCUUGCCUAAUUUUUGCCCAAUUUUUUGGCCUCUGGAGUCCCUGGUAGACUUCUUAACUUCUUGCACACAAGGUUACCAUGUGUCUAAUUGCUCAGCUCCAGUUAGAGUGGUGGAGGGAAACUGGUAUCAAUGAAUGAAUGAAUGAAUGGAUGGAUGGUUUAAUGACAGCUUGGAGAACCGACUGGGGUUUGAGCAAGAAACAGGAAGAGAAAGCCAACAUCUUUUAGCUCACCAAAUACUUUCAUGCCCCUUGGGAGGAAGAAAAAUGGAUAUGGGAAAUGCAGAGCAUGGAAGAGCUUAAAUUGAGCAUAAAGGACAUAAAACUAGAUAAGUAAGAUCAGAAAUAAAAGAUGAGUCAUCAUCGAAUCCAAACCUUUACAUUUUCAGCAGAGGGUGCCAAAACCUCAAGGGGAUAGUGACUUCCUUAAAAUUACAGAACCAGAGUGAAGACUGGGGUCUUUUGACUCUUUUUUUUUUUUUUUUUCUGUCCCUAACAAAAUGUUGCUCUUUUCUUCUCCAUACUUUUAUAUUUUCAAACUCAUUUAUUCCAGAAAAUUACCUGCCUUCUAACCUGGAGUUCCUCUUUUUUGAUCUAAAGAAGUUAUCCAAACUUACCUUGAGCUUACUGUCCUUGAAGCCAUUUUGGCCUUUGUUUUGUGGCCUCAAGGCUGCCCUCACUUAGAAAGGAUGAGUGACGGUAGCAGAAGCCAGCCAAGCAGGGCCAGUUUCUCCCAAGGCUGGCCCCAUGAAAGGUUUGGCUUGGGUUCUCACCAGGGUCCACAAGUCUUGCCUCCUAGAAGUUUGGUCCAGUGGUCUGCAGUCCUGGGAAUUUAUGCCGUCUCAAACAGAGGUUUUCAGACCUUGCCUGAUGAUCCAGGGACUGGAACUGAACACACGUUGUACCUCUUUAUAGCAACUUGGGUGUCCCAAACAGGACCCAUCACUUCCAAGUCCCAGGCUAGGAUUUUCUAACCAAGUAUGUAGUUAGAGGAAAAUUUAAUCCACAUGUAUCUGACUCACUGAUCUUUAAAUCAUCCUAGAGUUUGAUUCUGGGAAUGGUUUGAUGUGUACUCUGCUUUUUUUCAACUUUUGGAUUGGUGCACUGGCCAAGACAUAAUAAAUAGCAACCCUGAGAGAGAGAAGGAAGCUUCAAGUAGAGGCAUGACCUGCAGGCUCUUCCCUUCGUCCCAGCUGGAGACAGGCGCCCAGCAGGAGUAGAGAGUAGGCCAGAAGCCCAGAAAUGUGCCUUAGGUUAACCUCACCCUCAGCCUCCUCUUCUGCUUGUAUUUCUGGGAUGCAGAGCCCGACUAGGGAAAAAUCACUCAGCCUAAAAGAUGGUAACACCACAGAUUUAUGGCAUCUGAUCUUUGUUGCACCCUCCAGGGUACAAACUAAUCCCAGCUUGUGAUUCCUACUGUCAUCUAAGGUCAUUCCAGGCCUUUUCCACUCUUCUGGAGAUCUCGAGCACUUUUUUUCAACAAUUUCUCAUUUUGAAAAGAAAAAGGAGUCCAUCAGGAAAGAAUUUCCUCCAUUGCCUGCGACGCUCUACAAACCUCCAUGCCUCAGCCACCCUCGUUUUCCAUGAGGUCUCCCUGUCAGGGCUGGUUCCUCAGAUCUCCCCCCAGUAAUCCUCCUUCAUGAAAACCUCAGAGUCUCAGAGUCUGUUUCCGCUGAUGUGAGCUAAGAAUGUUUCAGGAAGAGGGGUAUGUCAUCGGGAUCCCAUUUCUUCCUGUGUCCUCCGGGACCUUGCUCUAAGGUCCUCUCUUUCGUCCUGAGACUUUUCUGAAUCUUUAAGCUCCACCUCUCCUUAGCCAUACAUACUCAUUCAAGUAUUUCCCGUACUAAAAAACAAAAUGAAACCUUCCUUCCACCUGAAGUCUCUAUGACCCCUCAUGUCUUCUCUUUUAGUCAAGCCUCUCGUAAGUGUCCCCUGUUUUUUCUCCCUUCAUGUCACAUUGACUCCACAACGCAUUGUAGCCUGGCAUGCACUGUCAUCACAGAAAUGCCCUCUGUGGGUCAGGCACGGUGGCUCACGCCUGUCAUCCCAGCACUUUGGGAGGCCGAGUUGGGCAGAUCACCUGAUGUCAGCAGUUCAAGACCAGCCUGGCCAACAUAGUGAAAACCCAUCUCUACAAAAAUAUAAAAAUUAGCUGGGCAUGAUGGCAGGUGCCUGUAAUCCCAGCUACUCAGGAGGCUGAGGUGGAAGAAUCACCUGAACCCGGGAGGCGGAGGUUGCAGUGAGCUGAGAUUGUGCCAUUGCACUCCAGCCUGGGUGACAGAGUGAGACUCCAUCUCAAAAAAAAAAAAAAAGAAAAAAAAGAAAGAAAUGCCCUCUGUGAAGUCAUCAGGGACCACCUGUAGUCACAUUUCAGUCUUUUCCUUACUGGACUUGUCCAGCAGUGUUUGACAUCAUUGACCUUCCCCGCAGUCCUGACAUGCUUUGCCCCUUCGUGCUGCGUGACACUGCUCUUUCCUGGAUCUCUUCUACAACUUUCUAAGAUUCUUUUCAGUCUCCUUUGUGGGUCCUCUUUUCUCCAGUAGAUGCAUGCACAUUGGUUGGGAUUUCCCAUGGCUACCUGUGGCUAUCCAAUGCUGUCUUCCCUCCUCCCUCUGCACACUCCCCACUUCCAGCUAAGCUACACCCUCAUGCCCAUGACCCCAGAUCUGCAUAUCCAGCCAAGGACUUUGUUCUGAGCUCCACCUUAAGUUCUCUGAGACCAAAGCAGGACUCUUGCUUCCCUCUGAGUCUGCUCACAUUUCUGAAGAUCCGAUCCUGGAGAAGGGUGUCAACAUUUCCCAGGCCUUCUGCCUCAUUCUUAACACCCAGUCUGUCUUGCCAGGUUUCCUGCUUAAGCAUGCAUCUGCCCACCUCUAGCCCACCCCCCCCAACUCUAGCCCACCUCCCCCAGCUUUUUUUUUUUUUUUUUUUUGAGAUGGAGUCUUGCUCUGUCACCAGGCUGGAGUGCAAUGGCGAGAUCUUGGCUCACUGCAACCUCCGACUCCCAAGUUCAAGUGAUUCGCCUGCCUCUACCUCCCGAGUAGCCGGGAUUACAGGCGCCGCCAUCUCGCCUGGCUAAUUUUUGUAUUUUUAGUAGAGACGGGGUUUCACCAUGUUGGCCAGGCUGGUCUCAAACUCCUGACCUUGUGAUCCUCCUGCCUUGGCCUCCUAAAGUACCGGGAUUACAGGCGUGAGCCACCAUGCCCGGCCUCUAGCCCCAUUUUGGCUUCCUUAGAUCAGGCUCUCACUUCUUGCUAGUCUCCCAGCUGGUUUCCCUUCAGCCUGUCCUGACCAUAGCCGAUCCAUACUACCCAUAGCCCCAAGAAUGGUCUUUUUAUAAAAUAAAUCUUGUCCAUCACUCCCUUACUUAAAAUGCUUUAGUGGCUUCUCAUCACUCAGGGUAAAAUCUAAAUUCUUUAACAUAGCAUUAAAAAAUCCUUUAUGCUCUGGUCCCAUCUGUCAGCCGAACUUCAUUUCCCCCGCCAAGCUCUCCUCUUUAAGCCAUAGCAGCACUGCCAUUCAUUGUCCGAACUCCCAGAACACAGCAGGCUUUCCUGUGACUCGAUUUUUUUCUUGUGUCUUUGCAUUUGCUCCUUCUUCUACCUACACUGCUCUUUCUCCACUUGUCCACCAGAAAACCUCCUAUUCAGCUUUCCAGGCUCAACUCAUGCCCUGUCUCCUCCUGGAGGCCUUCCCUGAUUUCUCAAGGCAAAUUCGAAUGCUGUUUCCCCCACCUCCCCCUUCUGCAUUCUGUACCUGCCUCCACUGCUAAUGAGCAUACUCGGCUGUGAUUGCUUAUUUGAAGUAGGAGCCUCUGCCCACCCCUGGAAGCCUAGACCUGUUGAAAGCAGUGUCUACACUUUUCAUCUUUGUAUGUCCUAUACAAAGUAUAGGGCCUGGCAUAUAAUAGGCACUCAAUAAACUUUUUUUUUUUUUUUUUUUUUUUGAGACAAAGUCUUGCUCUGUUGCCCAGGCUGGAGUGCAAUGGUGCAAUCUCAGCUCACUGCAACCGUGCCUCCCGGAUUCAAGGGAUUCUCCUGCCUCAGCUGCCUCAGUAGCUGGGAUUACAGGUGCAUACCAGUGCACCUGGCUAAUUUUUGUAUUUUUAGUAGAGACAGGGUUUCACCAUGUUGGCCAGGCUGGUCUUGAACUCCUGACCUCAGUUGAUCCACCCACCUCGACCUCCCAAAGUGUUGAGAUUAUAGACAUGAGCCACUGCGCCCGGCCUACAUUCAAGAAACUUUUUGUCGUUGUUGUUGUUGCUGUUUUUGAAACGGAGUUUCGUUCUGUUCUCCUAGGCUGGAGUGCAGUGGCAUGAUCUUGGCUCACUGCAACCUUCGCCUCCUGGGUUCAAGUGAUUCUCCUGUCUCAGUCUCCUGAGUAGCUGGGACUACAUGCACCCACCACCAUGCCUGGCUAAUUUCUAUAUCUUUUAGGAGAGAUGGGGUUUCCAUGUUGGCCAGGGUACUCUCAAUAAAUGUUUAAUUAGUAAUCAUGCCUAGCUUUUAUGGAGCACUUUCAACGGGGCCAGGCCAAGUGCUAAAGCGUUUUAACAUCCCUUACAUCACCGAGUUCACACAAUCACCACUACCAGAUGAGGUAGGUGUCAUUAUCCCUGUUUUAAAGAUGAGAAAACUGAGACUGACAGAGGCUAGGUAACUCUCCCAAGCUAGUAAGUGGCACAGAAGAGUCACGAACCAUGUUCUUCCCCAUGAGCGCCUGCUGCUAUUUGCAGGCAGUUACACAGGUAGAGUUUCAGGAUGGCGAGUUCUGCGUCUGCUCUAAGGAACUGCCUUGCACACAGUCUGUCACACCCCAGGCCAUUUAGUGUUUCCCUGUACCUAUCAACUCAGGCCUUGAGGCCUGCACUUGGCAAACAAAAUGUAGGCAUUCCCUCUUCAGCCAGUCUUUGGUCCCAUAUCAAAGUCUUUUCUUGCCAAUAGGGUCCCAUAGUUGCUGCCCAGACCCUUCCUAGAUUUGCUGCCCGAUGUCCUAGUCUCCUGGCUGUGAGUUCAGCCUCCUGCCCAUGCAGACUCACAGUCAGCAGCGCUCUGUAAUGCUUGAUUUCCCAGCCUUGUCUAGCCAGUAGUUGGUUGCAAGCCUUUAGUUCUGAGGAGCAGCCCUGGUCCACAGCCUUGGCUCUGAGCUGACCGCUUCCCGUGUAGCCCCAGGACUGUCAGCCUGCCAGUCCCCUGCCCCUGUGCCCUCCUGGCCUUGCUCUGAGUCUCCUGGCCCUGAGUGCCGUGUCUGCUCACAUGGACGGCAGCUCGGGCCAGACAGCCAGAGAAGACAGAGAGGUGAGGGGACAUGUAGAAAAGGCCCAUAGUGUCUCCCAGCGAGGGCUAUGCGGGUCUCCAGGAGUCCGGGCGAGACUGCCUCCUCAGGGUCCUCACCCCCACACCUGCGACCUAAAAAUGCACGCCUCUGUGCCUCUACAGCCACCAGCCGGCUUUAUGGGCUUUCUGACUUUGUUUUAUUCCCCAAUAUUUUGUUUUCUUUUUAAAAAUAUAUAUUUUAAUAGUUUUGGGGGUACAGGUAGUUUUUGAUUAUGUGGAUGAGUUCUUUAGUGGUGAUUUCUGAGAGAUUGGUGCACCCGCCACCCGAGCAGUGUACACUGUACCCAGUGUGUACUCUUUCAUCCCUCACCCCCUUCCCACCCUUCCCUGCAAGUCCCCAGAGUCCCUUCUACCAUUCCUAUGCCUUUGUAUCCCCAUAGCUUAGCUCUCACUUAUAAGUGAGAACAUAUGGCUUUGUUUUCCAUCCCUGAGUUACUUCUCUUAGAAUAAUGAUCUCCAGCUCCAUCCAAGUUGAUGCAAAGGCCCUUAUUUUGUUCCGUUUUAUGGCUGAGUAGUAGUCCAUGGUGUAUAUAUACUACAUUUUCUUUUUUCUUUUUUUUUUUUCGAGACGGAGUUUUGCUCUUGUUGCCCAGGCUGGAGUGCAAUGGCAUGACCUCAGCUCGCUGCAAACUCCGCCUCCCGGGUUCAAGAGAUUCUCUUGCCUCAGCCUCCCAAGUAGCUGGGAUUACAGGCGUGUGCCACCACGACCAGCUAAUUUUGUAUUUUUAGUACAGAUGGGGUUUCACCAUGUUGGACAGGCUGGUCUUGAACUCCCGACCUCAGGUGAUCGGCCCACGUCGGCCUCCCAAAGAGCUGGGAUUACAGGCAUGAGCCACUGUGCCUGGUCUACCACAUUUGCUUAAUUUGCUUGUUGGUUGACGGGCAUUUAAAAGGCUCCUCUUUUUUUAGAGGUAGGAUCUCACUAUGUUGCCCAGGCUGGUCUCAAACUCCUGAGCUCAAGCAAUCUGCCCACCUUGGCCUCCCAAAGUGCUGGGAUCACAGACAUGAACCACUGUGCCCAGUCCCCAGCUCCAUAUUUUUGCAAUUGCGAAUUCUUUCUGUGCUUUCUUCUUAGCCUCCGUUAGUUUCUCACUAUGACAAAGUUACGGUGCAAGUAAAAGAAAUAUGCUCUUGCCUGACAGGAUGAAUAUUCUGCAUUUAGCUUGUAUUGCUAUUUUAUUGAAUAAUUAUUGUACCUGACUACAAUUAUUAUAUUAACAGUACUCUCUUGACUGACAAGAUGAAUUUUUUCAUUCAACUUUUAUUGCUAUUUUAAUGAACAAUUAUUGUACCUGACUACAAUUAUUAUAGUAACAAUAUGCAGUCAUUGAAUAAGGCUUGGGCUUUGGAAAUAUACAAAGUACAGAUUAAUCUGAACAGUGAAACUUUUAAAUGAUAAUGCCUCAAUUUUGUAGGUCGUUUUUAUUAUAAUGCACUUUCUCACAUAUUCUGCUUCAACUCCGUAAAUAUGUUUUUUCCAGCUUUAACAAAGGGUGGGAUUUUAAAUCAUGCCAUCUCUGUCAGUCACUGUUGAAGGCAAGGGUGCUAGUGCUGGCGUCUUUAUAUAUGCCAUCUUAUUAAUCUUUACAGCAAUCAUGAAAGAGGGGAAUUUCCCCCACUUUAUAGAGAGAAGAAAUGAGGUAAAUUGCCCAGUCCUCCACAGCUAAUAAGAGAAAAGCUGAGAUCUGAAACCAGAUCUGCCCGAAGCUCAAGCUUUGAUGCCUCUGCUGUGCCACUCUGCCGGAUGCCAGGCCUGUCUUGGUCUGUAGCUGUCUCUCAAGGCAGGAAUGGAUGCUACCACCACCCCUGCCUCGGUGCGCCUGCAUUUUCUUACGUAUUAAACACAAAUUCCUGGGGGUAACUUCCAGUCUCUUUGGCCUAAGUGAUUUUUCCUGUAUUGUUCCCCUAGAUUUAAUACAGGCCUCCAGGUAACUGACAUUUUCAUCUGACUUCUUGUUAGGGAUACCUGGCACUUACUGCAGGGCUGGCAGUCUCAAGACGCCACCCUUCCCAAGGAGAGGGCAAGGAUACCUCCUGGGAAGCUCCCAGGGAAGGGUAAAGGCCAGCAGGACCUUGCUGAGAAGGUCCUUCCAGGACUAAGCGGGAGGCUUUACUGCCCAAUUGUCAUCUCUGAAUCUGCCAUCUGGGUGGUGUUUUCCCCCUUAAACUAUCCCGGCCCCGAAGGGACACAACUGUGAAAAGAAUCCAGAGGAUGGGGGGAGGGGGGGCCUCUGUGGGGAAGUGGAAAGGAUUUGGGGCCCGAGUUCUGAUCUGUGAGGCUCUGUGAGGCCUAUCCUUGGGGUUCGGGUCACCCCCUGCUUGCGGGAGGUUUUGCUGGUUGAGCCGGUGACUGGAUCAUGUCGAAGGUUUUUUUACUUCUGUAAUGUUCCAAGUGUCUAGAGUCUCAUUCCGGUGGUCCCCUCAGGAUGAGUGGCUCCUAACAGAGCACCCCCCACCCCCCCCGGGACUGGUGGGCUGCCUGAGGAAGCUCCAAGCCUGGGUCCAGGUCUCUGUGCACCUGAGGCCCCAGCUCAUCCCCACACCCAGGCAAAGGGUGACAGUCUCAGGCACUACUCUGAUGUAGCCUGUUUGAGGCUGGGGCCCAGUGGGAGCCGCACGUGGGACAGGGAGCAGUCCCCGGUUCCAGGAAAGAGCACGAGCAAGUGUGUCUGAGUGUGUGUAAGCGUGUGGUGUUUAUUUAUUCUAGGAGCGGUUGCUAAGUCAGACGUGUUUGCCAGCAGAGGGCUGCCUGAGUGCUGUGUUUGUUUACUCAGCACAGUGCAGGGAAGGGUGAUCGGACAGACAAGUGCAGGCUACAGCCGUUUGGUGGGGGGCACAUAGCGUGAGAUGAGAAUUGGUCUUGGGGGCCGUCUGGCGUGGUCCCAUUCUAUGGGUGCUGCUGGCUGUUGAGAGCUGCCUUCCGGGACACAGGCCCUGCCUUCUUUGAUGUGCCAGCGGCUCUCUCACUGACCCUCCUCCCAAGCAGGGUGGAGCUGCUCAUUACCCCACAGGGCAGUGGGCCCUCCUUCCCUUCAUGGGGCUGGGGGAGGGUUCCUGGCUACGGGGUCUCGGGGGUCCCUGAGAGAAAGUGGAUAAAAUGUGGGCAGUGGUAUGAGGAGGAGACAGUGGGUUCUCAGUCCCAUUCCUACCCUGUCCAAGAGCUUGUCCACCCUUAGUUAGGCUUGGCCUUUCCAACGGGCGAUCACAUCUUACCAAGACUGAAGUCCACUGCCUCCUAGUCUCCUGUCCUCAGUCUUCCAGGUUAUAGAUUGGUUAUAUAUUCCCUAUCUUCAGGAGAGAGUGAGAGACAGAGAGAGAGAGAGAGAGAGAGAGGAGGAAGGCAAAACAGAGACCCUCCUGACUCCCUGUCCACCCUCAGCCACAGGCCAGAGGUAGGGACUGGCUGAAUUUCAGGGUCAGGACUUCCCAGCUGGGUGGCCCCAGAGGCCUCUGCCUCCCUCUUCCUGCCCUAAGGCCCCAGCACCACGUCUGUAAGUCUCUGAGAGAGCCCUGGCUCCCCCGACACAGGCUGGCUGGCAGCCAGGGGUGGUGUUCUGGCUCCUGUACCAGCCAGAUGGGGUGGCAGGAAGGCCCUGUUAAUCCCCAGGGAGAAAGCUCCUUGGCAAACAGAAAAAAAGUGGCUGCCGGCACUAUGUCCCUACCCUGGGACCAUGAAACACCAUACCCCGAAGUCUUUGGGGCAGAUUUUGUGCCUCUGUAUUCUGCCCACACCUUCCACGGCGCUUGGGCUGGAGUCCCAGCUGGGGCUAUGGAGUAGGGAAGGGAGACCGGGUUCCCCCUUCUCAGGUUAAGGCUUUUCUGUAAUGGACAGUUUGCCUCUGCUUCUCUCAAACACCCUAGGGAAUUGUGAAGACAGGGUGCAGGCAGGCACUAGGCCCUCCUCUGGGCUCCAGCCAUCUAGAGCUCUUAUUUGCUCUGAACUUUCCUGAUAGUGUUUGGAGAAGCAACUGGGAUUGUCUGGGUCCUCCUUCUACCCCAUCACUCCACCACCCACCUCUGCCCCCAUCAUCCCCCACCCCCACCACACACACCCAGACUUCUGCCACUGAAGCUGCCUCUUCUGCUGGUGUGGCAAAUAAGUGUGGAGAGAGUGAAACCAGAUACAGAGAAGGCAGCCAGCUGGGGAGGUGGUGGGUGGUGUUCUGCCGACCAGGCCUCCUGCUGUCCUCCCCCGGAGCCAGGAUGGUGGAGGUCCUGGGCCCAGCCUCGGUCUGCCUUUUCCCCUGCAUGCCCAGCUGGUGUGCCACCUGUGAGGGGCUGACAGCUCCUUGCUCCUCCAGUGGUCUUGUCUUGGUCCUGGGUUUGGGGAACAGGAUUCCCUGAGCCAGUCCCUCCCUACACUUGGCAGUUACUGGGGAAGCUGAGCACCAAGGCUUGAGCCAUUUCUUGCUUUCCCUACCUGUCUCUGUCUCACCUCCAUCCACAUUCCUUGCAACAUGGUACCAAAGUAAGGCUUUGAACUUGGGAUGAGUGGGGUGAAUUUCACUCUUCCCAACAGCAAAAAUGGAAGCUAAUCUGGUUUCAUCUCAGUUUGUAAGAUCCCUAGAUUCCCAAGGGAGCUGGGAAACCUCACUUGGGUCUAAAAGGUCAUUUAAGGGCCGCUUCCAGACCUGGCUCAUGCUCCCGAUUGGUGGUGGGGGGUGGAGGGGUGCUGGCUGGGAUUGUGGUCACUGAAGAGGGUCAGGAGCAAGGGUCAUUGGGUAGAACGGCUCCCUUUGUCCCACUAGGCCACGAAUUGGUUCUGGCAUUCCCAAGGGGAAUGCUCCAAGCCAAGUAAGGGCCACUGUGUCCAGGUGGACCAUUCCCAAACCCAUUUCUAUCAUGGAUCAUUUUCCAGAAACUUUCCAACAUGGGAAAUCACAACUGAAGCUGGUUGUUUAGAUCGGAAAAUCUGGGUGUAGUGUCAUUAGAAAAACCAGAGUCUCCUCACAUGAACCUUUGCCUGCAACCUCUCCCUGGCCUGCCUGCUGCUCUCUGCCUGAGUCACAACAGCAUUCAACAGCUUGGACACAGAGCUUUACAAUGUGCCAAGUGCUCCCACGUGCCCUGUGGCAUUUACUCCGCCUAGCAGCCUGGAGAGAUAAGUUAGUGUUAGCUCCACCCAGCAGAGGAUGGAAGCCCUGGGAAGUCACCGGCCUCACUGAGGUUGUACAGGCAGUAGGUGGCAGGACUUGAAAUCUCGCGUCCUUUCCACGGAAUCUUUUCUGCCAGCAACCCAGAGAGUGCAGGGGGAAUCCAAACAGUCUGGUGGGCACCAACUGUCUUGGCUGGCUUCCAGCUGGGCCUUUAGUGGUGACUUUGGCACGCCCGCCCCCCCCAACCCUCUGUCAAUCUUUAGGAGCUGGGGGAAUAGGGGGUGCUUUCUAGGAGGCUCUGCUCUCUUCUGAGAUGUCCCCCUUACUUCCUUCCAUUCUCUCAGGUGUGGGAGUCACUUUUCUGUGUGAAUACCAGGCCAAACUUGUCCUUUUCUUCCUUUUCUCAGAGUCACCUGCCCCAAAGCGCCCCUGUUCCUCCCUCCCUUCUCUGCCUCUUCCCCCGGGAUACCUUGCCCUUGCUUCGGGAGUGGAGGCAGUGUUGCCCCAGCAGAGGCACCGGCACUGCCAGGGUGUCCAGCUUUGCACACGGCCUCAGGCGCCCUCACGUUAGCUUUGGCUUCUUGAUGGAUCUUGAACUCCCUUGGGAUGCUUUGUGGGCUCCUGAAGGACCUCCCAGGAUGUCCCCUCUGUCCUCAGACCUGCUAUGUGACCUCAAACAGGAAUUCAGACUCUUCUUGGCCUUCGCGUUCCAGAGCAGAAGGAUAUGGGUGCCCAAAUCCAGACUCGGAGAGGCAGGAGUGAGGUGAGAGGCACAAAAUACACCUUUUUUUUCCUGAGCAAAAAUCUGCCUCAGGUCCACUCGUUUCCCAAGGGCAGCCGUGCCUUUCACCCGACAACCCGAGGACCCGCAGCCCCAGCCUCUCGGGGAAGGUGAAUGUGCAAAAGCCAAGUUUAUCCUGAGUAAUGCAACGAAUACACUGGAGGGGGUGGGGCCGCGGAAGGUUUUAUCCAGAACACAUGUUAUUGCCACUAUUCUAGUUAUCUUGGAUAUUUCCUGCAUGUUUGUCACCAUGGCAACUGACAGCAUGAAGCCUGUUUGCUGGGCCCUGGGGUCUGGCGCGGCAGCCAUGUGGUGUCAAUUUGGCCCUCUCUGCUUCCCCCAGCUCCUGUCUCUCUGUCAUGCUGCUUUUGGUCUCCGCCUCUGUCUCCCCGCCGCCUGUCUCUGGGCUUCUCUGUUUUCUUCUUCCAGGAAAUAGCUGCCCCUGCAUCCCUCGGUGACAUAGGUAUAGACAGUGUCCAGCUACUGCCACCCUAAGCCUCCCCUUAGUCCACACAGACAGUCUGUGACUAAGGGUGUUCCAGAAUGGAUGGGAAACUUGUGUGGCAGGGGAUAGGCAAGAGAUUGGCCUUCAGUGGAGAAAGGGCUCAGCCCGGCUCUGGGCUCAUGGUUCAAAAUGAGCCCAUGCUACCUACUGCUAGGCUGGGGGCUAAAGAUCCCUUGAGAAGGUGGGUUUGGGAGACACCAGUGAGGAGAGAUGUGGGCUUCUCAUCCUGAUGUUUCCUGUGUGUGGGAGUGAGGGGUCUCCAUCACUCAGAUCCUUCCUUCCCUAGGCUUUUGGAGAAGACAUAGGUAGAAUGGCAGAGAGGGGUCUCAAAUUCACAGAAGAGAAGCCAAGGAGAGAGGAGCUUGACAGCUAAGGGGCAGUGAGGUCUCUCGGCAUUAUGGGCUGCCUGGGGACCUCAAAUCCCCAGUCCUUUCUCCCAGGUCUCUGGGAUGUGGCAAGGACAGGGUGUGGCAAAGACAUGGCCAAUGGCAGUGUCCCUCCAUGGGGACACCAGGCAACAGGGAGGGUGUUGACAAUAAUAGCCUGCGAGGGAGCUGUGCCAGCAGCUUGGAAAAAGCACCGCGAGCAGACAGGCGACUCCAUGGGAGAUGAGGGCAUCUUCUGGCCCCUCUCUCCACCCCCAGGUCUGGCUUCCCUUCAUUCUGGGAAGCCCAGGACUGGGCAGUUGCCAGCCACUCUGCUUCAAGUUUUCUGCAUCCACACUGCAGAGGCCUUCCCAGGCCACCUUCCCAACCUCUACAUCUGUCAUGUGCUGUUUCUUAUCAUGCCCAAUCCCCAGUCCCCACGCAAGGUAGGCCUGGAAAUUGUCAUGCAGCCAGAGCCCCAGGCAGGGCUGGCACCCACUGCGGGACUGCUUGGAGGAGAGAGGAGGGGCUAGGGAGGUGGAGUAGGGUCCAGAACCUGCCCUGGCCACAGCUCCUGCAGGCUCAGCUCCAAGGCAUGAGGGAGUCUGGAGUGAGACAGGAGAGCUGGGGCGAGGCAGCCAUCAUGCUGGGCCCUGAGAGGACCGGCCCCGGGGCCAGCAGCCCAGAGGGUGCUGCAAAUCAGCCUUCUUUUGGGUCAGCAUCAUUCCAAGGAGGUCCAAUUCUCUGGAUGGGACAGGGCAUUGGGAAAAGUCAAAGGGCAGCCGCAGUGUGGCUCUGGGGCUCAGUCCCUUGCGUGCAGGGACCCUGUGGGUUCUGGGAGCCACAAGGGCCAAGGGAAGGGACUGCCAAGAAUUGGGUGGUGUGGUGGGGCUCGAGUCGUAUUGGAAAUGCUGGAGUCUGAAUGUUUGUGUCUCUCCAGAAUUCAUGUGUUGAAACAAAAUCCCCAGUGUGAUGGUAUUGGGAGGUGGGGUCCCUGGGAGGUGAUUAGGUCAUGGAGGCAGAGCCCCUGGGAAUGGGGUUAGUGCACUUAUGAAACAGGCCCCAGAGAGCUGCCCUGCCUCCCUUACCAUGUGAGGAUAUAGCAAGAGGCCACCAUCUAUGAACCGGGAAAUGGGCCCUCACUAGACACUGAGUCCCUUUCACAGGAGGCUACACAAGCCUGACUGAGCGGGGCUCCAUUGGGCUGAUGAGGGAAAGGAAGCUCUCCCUCCCAAAGCUCUGGAAGAUACUGAAACCCAGGCAAAGAGACAACCCAAGGCUGCUGUGUUGUAGAGGAGAGUCACCAAGGACCCCGGGACCCAGAGUGUGGAGGGCAUAGAUGCAGGACGCAGGUAGCAAGAGCCAGUGUGCAGCCUUGGAUGGUGCCAGAGAGGCCUGUGCAUUGGACAGAUAGCUGAGAGGGGCAGCAAGCGUUCUGGGCAGGCGUCAGGCAGGCUUUGCUCAGGGAGGCUGGCUUUGACCUACUUGUGCCUGUGGAGCUGGGCAUGGAGCUGCCAGUGGGCCAGACUGGGAGAGACAUGCCAGGUCACCCCAGCCUCAGGGACAGUCCCUCUUUCCAGUGCCAAGGGUCCAGCCAGAGUCUCCAGCUUUACUCAGAGUCUAAGGCAGUAGACGUUAGUCCUCACACUGCUCUGUUACCCAGAAUGAGUCAAUGACCUUCUAUGGGCCUCUGUUUUCUGUUUGACUAAUGAGGCUGGGGCGAGAAAGAACUGAGUUGCAGAGGAGGGAGUGGGUGCCCCUAGAGAAGGAGGUGGGCCUUGGAGGCUGAGAAGGGCAGUGAGGUUUGAGACGGCUGCAGAGGGCUCCAGAGACAGGCCUCCAGCUCACACCUCGAGGGCGAAGAGAUUCUUCUGGAGUGGAGAGGAAGAGCCUCUGCACCCAUCCCCAUCCUCCCAGUCCUCCCCACGGAGACCACAACUCAAGACCCAGCUGUCCCCUCCCAGUGACUCAGGCUUUGGCUGCCCUCCUGCCCACAUCCAAGCCCUGUCCAGUGCCCCAUAACAGGAAGGGCUGUGGUGUGAGAGAGGAGGAGGGAAGGCUGCCCCGCCAAGGGCCUUCAUGUCCAAGGAGCCAUCUAGGUGGAGGAGUCCUUUGCACCCUCCUGGCCGUGUCACCCUCUGCCACCUCAGAAAUGUGGGUUUGGCCUGAGGUGGGACUCUGUCCUCCUCCCUCUGCACUGAGCAUGGAAGGCCACUUGUUUCUCAUUAGCAAACUGCAGGAUGUCACCACCAUAGGGUGGAUGUGCAUUUUUGUCCUCUUUGCUGGAACGGUGGGGUGUGUGGGCUGAGCCAGGGACAGGGCAGAGGCGGUCAGAAGAGCUGACCAGAGCCUUGUGGGACCCAGGGCAGGGGCUGUGGUUAUAUGGGGCAAAGCUAUUUGGAGGCCACAGGACACCACUGUCCCUGCUAGAACCAAGGGCAGCUAUGCUAAGAUUUGGAGAAGAGGGAAAGGCAGAACCAAUGGCACUGUGGUUGUGAUUUUUGGCAAUAAUUGUGGGCAUUGAUAAUCAUAACGGUAGCAUUCAUUUAUUGAGGACCAGCCAGUGCUAGGUGGUUCAUAUAUAUUAUUUCUUUAAUUCUCUCAAUAACUCUGUUUUACAGAUGAGAAAACUGAGGCUCAAAAGGGUAAAUAAAUGACCUAGUUUUCACAGCAAUUAAGCAUUCAAACCAAGAUCUGCACCCAGGUUGUCUGAUAUUUAUGACUUUUCUUUCAUUAUGCCACAUUGCCUCCUCUAGCCCAGUUGUUUUUUUUUUGUUUUUUUUUUUUUUUUUUUGAGACAGUCUCACUCUGUCCCCAGGCUGGAGUGCAGUAGCGCAAUCUCAGCUCACUGCAACCUCUGCCUCCUGGGCUCAAGCGAUUCUCCUGCCUCAGCCUCUUGUGUAGCUGGGAUUACAGGCACCUGCCACUACAUUCAGCUAAUUUUUGUUUUUUCAGUAGAGACAGGGUAUUUUUUGUAAUUUUGUAUUUUCAGCAUGUUGGCCAGGCUGGUUUCAAACUCCUAACCUCAGGAGAUUUACUUGUCUUGGCCUCCCAAAGUGCUGGGAUUAUAGGCAUGAGCCACUGGGCCUGGCCUCUAGCCCGGUUCUUCAUCUUUUUGUGCCAUGGAUGCAGUCCGAAGUCCAUGGGCCCCUUCCUAGAAUAAUUAAAAAAAAUAGAUUAGAUUUACAAAGGAACCCAAUUAUAUUAAAAUGUGGUUAUCAAAACAUUAAACACAUGUGUGAUAUAGUAAUAUAUGUGCUUUUUAACUAACACAUGAAAUAACAAGAUUUCUGCCAGGCACGGUGGCUCACGCCUGUAAUUCCAGCACUUUGGGAGGCCAAGGCGGGUGGAUCACCUGAGGUCAGGAGUUCAAGACCAGCCUGGCCAACAUGGGGAAACCCUGUCUCUACUAAAAAUAUGAAAAUUAGCUGGGCGUGGUGGCAGGCACCUAUAACCCCAGCUACUCGGGAGGCUGAGGCAGGAGAAUUGCUUGAAUCCGGUGGGCGGAGGUUGCAGUGAGCCAAGAUUGUACCACUGCACUCCAGCCUGGGCGAAAGAGAAAAAUUCUGUCUCAAAAAGAAAAAAAAAAAAAAGAAAGAAAGAAAUAAGAUCUAAUAACUACCAUAAUUUCAAAAUAGUGAUGAAUGUAAAUACUAUUUUGUAUUAUCAGCAAAAGCUGUAAUGUGAUUUUUCUUAACCUUUCUUUUUUUAUUGUUAUACUUUUUUCUGGGGUACAUGUGCAGAACGUGCAGGUUUAUUACAUAGGUAUACACGUGCCAUGGUGGUUUGCUGCACCCAUCAAUCCAUCAUCUACGUUAGGUAUUUCUCCUAAUGCUACCCCUCCCCUAAUCCCCCACCCCAUGACAGGCCCCAGUGUGUGAUAUUCCCCUACCUGUGUCCAUGUGCUCUCAUUGUUCAACUCCCACUUCUGAGUGAGAACAUGUGGUGUUUGGUUUUCUGUUCCUGUGUGAGUUUGCUGAGAAUGAUGCUUCACCCGUGUCCCUGCAAAGAACAUGAACUCAUCCUUUUUUAUGGCUGUAUAGUAUUUCAUGGUGUAUAUGUGCCACAUUUUCUUUAUCCAGUCUAUCACUGAUGGACAUUUGGGUUGGUUCCAAGUCUUUGCUAUUGUGAACAGUGCUGCAGUAAACAUACGUGUGCAUGUGUCUUUAUAGUAGAAUGAUUUAUAAUCCUUUGGGUAUAUACCCAGUAAUGGGAUUGCUGGGUCAAAUGGUAUUUCUGGUUCUAGAUCCUUGAGGAAUCGCCACACUGCCUUUGGCAAUGGUUGAACUAAUUUACACUCCCACCAACAGUGUAAAAGCAUUCUUAUUUCUCAACAGCCUAUUUAUCAAACAGUUGUUUCCUGACUUUUUAAUGAUUGCCAUUCCCAUUGAAAAGCUGUAAUGUGAUUUAUAUUGGUAACAAUGUCAUAAGUACUGACAAUGCCUAUAUUCUUAAUUGAAGGAAAUAUUUAAGUUAGACAGUAGUGAAAAUGAAGGUGUACGGAUUUUCCCAUCUGAGGUCACAGACCCCUGAACUCUAUCUAUGGGCUCCAGGUGAGGAAAGUUGCUACAAUUUGUGUGCAGCUAUUGGGUGGGUUCGUUGGAAACCCUCUCUUUUUUGUCUGGUUGGAGGGAGUGUGCAAACCACUUCCAGUGUGGGGAACGCUGUGCCAGUUGGGGACAUCUUGAGUGAGUCUAUGCCCCACCGACUCUGUCCGUGCCUUACCUGGGAUUUAAGUUGCCAGAUUUAGCAGACAAAAUGACAGAAGACCCAGUUAAAUUUGACUGAUGCUUUUUCAGUCCAUGUCCUGUGCGAUAUUUGAGACAUACUCACUGUAUUAUUUUUCUAUUGCUCUGUAACAAAUGACCACAAACCGAACAGCCUAAACACAAAUUCCAUAGCUGGAAGUUCUGCACGUCAGCAUGGCUCAGCCGCGUCCUCCGCGGAGAGUCUCACAGGCUGCAGUAGAGAUGUCCAGGGGCUGCGCUCCUUUCUGGAGGCUCUGGGAUGUGUCGGCUCCCAGCUCAUUCAGGUUGCUGGCUGGAUUCAUUUUCUUGUGGUUGGAGGGCUGAGGUCCCUCUUUGCUUGCUGCCUCUCAGCUGAGGCUGUUCUCAGCUUCAGAGGCCAUCCACAUUCCUGGCCAGGUGUCUCCAAGCUAUCUCCAAAAGCACGUUUCUCAUCUCUGACUUCCCCUCCACCCCGGCCAAAGAAAACUGCUCUUGAAGGAUUCCUGAGAUCAUAGUAGGCUCCUCCGGGUCAUCUCUCUUUUGUCACAUGACAUAACAAUCGCACUAGUAACGGCCAGAAACAAGAGUCAUGGGACUGCCCUACAAGUCUGCUUGCCACUUACACUAAACACGUAUGGGCUGCUUCUCUGAAAUGAAAACUGCACUUGCCAUCCCUGCUGGGAUUAGAUGCGCUGUGGACCUUGCCUCAUGACCUGGGGCAAUUCUUUUCUCGUCUGGCCCUCAGUUACCCCCUCAGACAACUCCACUGAAUUAUUUAAAAUCUGCAUGUAUGGACUGGGCACCAGCCACCACGGGGCAUGACAUGUACAUGACCCUUUUUCUGCCUUUAGGGUCUCACAGUCUAAAGGUGGAGACUGAAAUACACAUAAGCAAAAGGCUGAGAAAUACGGUGCCAGGCUGGGCACAGUGGUUCACCCCUGUAAUCCCAGCACUUUGGGAGGCUGAGGUGGGCGGAUCACUUGAGGCCAGGAAUUUGAGGACAGCCCGGGCGACAUGGCGAAACUCCAUCUCUACUAAAAAGACAAUAAUUAGCCAGGUAUGCCACCUGUAGUCCCAGCUACUUGGGAGGCCGAGGGGAGGGGAUCACUUGAGCCUGGGAGGUGGAGGCUGCAGUGAGCUGAGAUCCCACCACCGUACUCCAGUCUGGGCAAUUGAGCGAGAACCUAUCUCAAAAGAAAAAAAAAAGAAAAGUGGCCUGAUGGCAGAGAUGGGGGCUGAGGGUGAGGAGACGGAUAAUCAACAGGCCAUGGAGAACAGCAGAGGGAGGGAGAGUGGCUGCUAUUCAACUGGAGAAGGGACAGAGGGGAGACUGGAACAGCUCGCAGGUGGGUGUGAUUAGGACAGAACCUCAAGACUUGGACAGGAACAAGUGGGGAACAGCAACAGCGAAGGCCCGGUGGCGAGGGGUCCUGGUUCCCCCUGGGAGUGGUAUAUGCAGCCGAAGGAUAGGGUGCCUGGGGCCUGGGAGUGUGGGGAGAAAGGAGGAGGGGACACAGUUCUGAGAGAGAGGUGGGGCCGGCCCGGAGGCCUCAAUAGCUGCAGGAGCAGGAGGGUGCGAGAGUCCACGAUGGCCACGGUGCUCACGUGGGAACAGAGCCACUGCAGCAAGGAUACAGCUUCCUCGGCUCUGGCAGGAAAUAAGGUCCUGUGGACCAGGCAGUUGGGAGACAGUCUUAAGUGGUGGACAGAGCUCUGGCCAGAGACAGGAGUCCUGGGUGCUGGCUUUGCCAGUUACUCAUGGCGGGACUCUGGGCAUGCUUGGAACAUGGGAGUCCCAUCUGGGAGCCAGUGUGCUUGGAGCAGAGCAGGCAAGUGGCACAGUGCGUGCAGCAAUCACACAGGGCCUCGUGGGCCACUAACAGGACUCUGGCUUGUAUCCUGGGAAUGGCUGCCUUUGAGCAGAGCCCUACAUGAACUGAUUCAAGCUAAAUGGAGAAUUGCAGCUGCCCCGUGAACAGCCCAUGUGCCCAAUGCUGCCGGGCAGCCCGAGUGGAGCGCGAGAACUGCACCAGACGCUCCCUACCCCAGAGACUUGCCGCGCACCUGGGAGAAGCCACAGGGCAGUGUGUGUAGUGCUCAGAGCCAGGGCUUUCAAAACGGAAGAUCCCAGCUCUGUGGGCUUGAUGGCCUCAACAGUGACAUGGUGCUGGUAGCACCCUACAUGGUUGGGUUAUGGUGCAUGACAAAUUGCCUGCACAGAGUAGGCACUGAAAAUAAUAGUAGCUAGUUAUUUACAUAAUAAUACAGGGUAGCAGAGCUCCUCAUGAGAGGUGCAGGUGCUGGUGUUGGUGGUGCCGGAGGGACAUAGGCUAACCUCCAAAGAUGGCAGGACCUGGAGUCUCAGGUAGAUGAAAGAGGAAUGGGAGACGGAGCCCCGGACCUGGCAGGAAGAAGCGCAGUGCGUUCUCCACAGAGACACGAGGGUGAGGCCAGCAUGAAAUCUCAAAUGGAAGCCUCCAGAAGCUGGUGGGGGUUGGGGGGAGAUGCAGGAGAGGGCAUGGACCGGUGCAGAAUUAAGCUGGUGAGGAGGCCAGAUUCUGAAAAGCAUGAAUGUGAGUUGUCUAAUUGGAGGUGACAGGGAGUGGGAGAGGGACCAGAGGCAGUGGGAGGGAGAGCAUGACAGACCCACAGCUGGGCUCAGCUCUUUCCCAUCCCCGAGAAGAGUGGGAGGGGUCAGAGGAGGGGACCUCAGCAGGUGUCCAGGCAUCCGGGAGCCCGGACUGCUAUGCAGGAGGAGGUAGUCCUGUUUCUUCUGAAACCUGAUCUUUCAGGCAGCUGUCCCCCUCAGCCUGACAGAGCAGGGCACAUUCUUUCCCCAGGCAUCAUUCUCACCGGCCUCCCCCAAGGCUGGCUCUUUGAAAAGACAGAGCCCGGUUGGGGAAAGGAAUGGAAAUGGCAGGGCCCCCACGCAUGUCCCAGGGAGCCCCUGAGGGGAAGUGCCCCUCUGGUGCAGGCAGCCCCUGACUUUCUCUCUUCCCACCUUAGAGUCUGCAAGCAGAAAGCCAAGGCCUCUACAUUUGGGUCUGUGCAGCCUCUUAGGCUCUAGGCCAGUGAUUCCCAGCCUGGACUUACCCAGUUCCUAAAUGUCCCAUAGGUAGCAAAGGAGGUUGGAGAGCUAUUUUAGUGUUUAUGAAAAAUCUCCUAGAAAUCAUAUAUUUCUGCACUAGAGCUAAUUUCUAGUCAUUCUUCUGAUAACAGCGUCAAUGGCAACCCUCUAGGAAGCUUUCCUACCUGUGUGAGUCAGGUAGGUUCCCAGCCGGAACAGUCGAGUCCUGCAAAUGGGGUAACUGAGGAGAGUUUAAGAAGGGACUAUUGACAAUGUGUUUGGCUGGAUUAAAGGACACCAACAAGGGGUGAUGAAACAGCUAGCAGCAGCAGCUCAAGUCCUCGUUCCACCAUAAGUCCACAGGAACAAGGGAAGGGGGUAGCUACCAGAACUUUGCAAGACCUAUAGCUGUAAGAAGGGGCCUCCUGACAGGCUCUGUGGCCUUCAGUAGAGGACCACAGCCACAGCAGCCCCAGAUCCAUGGUGGCUGAUCAGGGAGGAAGCUGACCUCCUCCCCCUCCUGCCAGGGAAUCCCACUGGCAAAAACUCAACUGGAAGAGACAGGGCAGAGGAGGGCGGUUGGCACAGUCCUUCGAGUGAGCCUGGGGCAUGCAGCAGGGUGGGUGCAGGUGCAGAGUGCGUCUGGAGGGACAGAAGGAGAACAUCUAGCCCACCUCCCAAGGCUGUGACCCCGGAACCCUGUGCUUGCCUGGUAUGUAAUGCUGUAUUGUGAUUGGCUGUUUCCUUGUCUGUAUCUCCUCCAAGACUCAACUCUCCUGGAGGGCAGGGGCUGUGCUUUGUUCACACAUACUCAAUAAACUCCAUUGGGUAAAAUAAAUAACAAGGCUGCUCAGAUUCACCGUAACAUCACAUUUCUCUGCUUGGGAUGCAAUUAAAUCAUCUCCAUGUGGAAGCAGCGGUUAUCUUCUGCCAUCAGCAGCUUCGGAUUACCAGGUCUGUAGGCCCAACUAAUAAAACACAAGCCAGCAAAGUUAAUUAGUCAUUUAAUGAAUUCAAUUUGUCUAGCAGACAAAAAUCCUUCAACACAAGUCAUGAGGCGAGAGUGAGAACAAUAAAAGGAGUCCUCCCUGCUGAAAAUCUCUGAAAACACCCCCUCAGCCAUGAGGGCUGGGCUAUUUCGAGGGUGUUCACAUUUCUUGUGUAACUCAGAGCAGGCCAAAGUAUGGUUCUCCCAGGCCAACCAAGCCCUCAAUUUCAAAUACAUCUUUGUGGAGGAGCCCCUAUGGGUCUGCCUGCCUCUCUCGGUCUCUGCUGCCCCUAUACAGCCCGGGCCACCAAUCGAUACCUCCAAGCUAUCCGCUGCCUAAGAAGCACCAAGAGUCUCACCACCUUCCACCCCUGGCCAGCCUCACCUCCUUUCUUCUCUUUGCCCAGUACCCCAGAUCUCAUCAUGCUUCUGCUCAAAACCUCAUAAUAGCUUCUGGUUUCACUUAGAAGGCAGUCCACGUUCCUUAUCCGGCUGGGCUCCUCCCCACCCACUUCACAGUUGCACUUGGGCUGUCAGCCAGGACUGUUUCCCUGCCUCCUGCUCCUUGCUAGGACUGCGGGUCUCAGUUUCAAUGUCAUUUACUCAGAGGAGCCUUCUCAGAGUCUCCUGUUCUGUUCUCACGAUGGCCUGUGCUUUUCCACCUCAGUGCUCAGUACAACUGGGAAAAUUCACUGCAACUCAUUGUGCGAUUAAACAGGGCCUGCCUGUCCAUGCUGCUGCGAGCUUAGUGACAGCAGGUACCUGGACUGCUUUCUCAACUGCUGGAUCCCCAGUGGCCUGGUCAGUUACCUUCACUACACAUUUGUUGGACAAAUAACAAAGUAAAGGUCUUUCCUGGAAUGCCAACAAGCUUGCUGGGGAGACAAAAGCUGACAUAUAAAACUCUUCAGAACAGCACAGGGUGAUUUGGGUAUAGCUAUCUCCAGAUACCUUGGCCCUUGUUCUUGGAGUUUUAGGAAUUCAGAGAAAGGAAGAAAGGAUCUGAAGGACCUAGUGAAGACUCUCCUUGAGGCCACUCAUUUCAGGGAAGCGAAGGGAAGAGGGUGGGAGAAGUAGCUUUUGUUGUGUACCCAACAGACCAGAAAUCUAUAAUACAAUAUCUUUUUCAAGCCUCAUGAUUGGCUGAGUUUUACAAAUGAGGAAAUUAAGGACAGAGAAGUAAAGUAAGUCAUCCAAGGUCACACAGCAAGGAGGUGGCAGAGCCAAGAAUCGACCCAGGCGGGUCAGAUUCAAGCUUGCGUUCCUGUCACUAGGCAUAGGACAGGAAGUGGGGUGGUAAGAUGUCACCCCUAGGCCAAGGGGGCAGUGGUUUAAAUGGGGGCUCAGGUCAGAAAAGCAUCCUAUCUAUGGUAAUGCGGGAACCUGGCUUUGUUCUGAUACUGAACUCAGAUCUGAGACGCCACCCAGGUGUAUGUUAUAUGGGUUCUGAGAGGUCCAGCAGCAAGCAGGGCAGUUGGGCCCACCCCAGAGCAGCUGUACGCCCUUGGAGAUGGCCUGAAAUUGGCCAAGCUCUGGAAUGAGGGUCUGGGCAUUGCUCCCAGCAUCUGACCUUGGAAGGAAGCAGAAGCAGAGCUGUGGUUUUGAAGAUUUUCCUUCCCCAACGGAGACCCAUUGCAGCCUGUUAUGAAGGACCCAGCACAGGUAGAGAGAGCCAACAAGGUGGAAUGGGGGGCUCUGGCUUGGUGAGAUGGGGGAGGAGAAAGAGGGGUCACUCCUGCCAAGCUGACCUCAGCUGGGUAAUGUGAUCAGCCUGUCAUGGUUCUGAGCCCUGAUUUGGGAAGAACAAAGAGGCCAGGCCCCUCUGCCUCCUCUAGCCCAGGAAUGCAGCUGGGGGCCAGGCCGUGACCAAUGGGGAAUGCAGGUUGGGAGCGCAGCGAAUGCAGUUUGUAGAGCAAGGCUUUCAUGCACUGAUGGGAGCCCCACUCACAAAGCCAGGCUGACAUGCCCCCGCGCUUCCAACUUUGAUAUCCCAGCCCCGCCUUGGGGGAGCCGCACAUCCCCAAGCUGUCUGUGCCCAACUGCCCCGCUGUGGCCCUCGAGUGAUGAUGGGGUGAAGAGUGGAGAGCUCAGAUCCCAACUCCCCUCAACCCCACCAGGAUUCCUAGACACCAACAUCUCCUUGUCCGUCUCUCUCCACCUCGGGAUGUCUGAGGAAUGGACAGGGGGAAACAGCCUCCAGCUCCUGAGGGCUGAGAGAGAUGGAUGGAGAGACAGAAAGAUGGACCACGAGAGAGGCCGCGGGCCUCAGGCAGCCCCUGCUCUGAGCAGGUCACAGAAACUCCUUGAGGCCACCCACUCCAGGGAAAUGAAUAAUGUUAGAGGUGGGGGUUUCACUCCUGGCUUGGACAUCUGAAUACUUUCUGCAUUCCAAAGCUGCUAGCUCCCCUUCUCCAGCCCCAGUCUCUUUUCCCACUGGCCGAUUCACUCAGUGUGGGGUCCUUCAGGACUGCCCUUUUCUGCCUUCUCAAUUAUCCACUGCCCCCUCCCUCCUGGUGUCUCUGUGCUCCUGCGCUUCCUCUCCUCCUGGGUGUUAAUAAUGACAGUGCUUUACAGUUUACAAAGCACAAUCACCUGCAGUAACUCGUUUGAUUCUUAUAGGAGCCCUGUGCAGCAGGGACUCUGAUCCUCAUUGCAUGCAGGAAGAGAAGAAGGAAGAGGAGGUGGAGGCUUGAUGAGGAGGUGGUGGCCUGUGAUGGCAAGAGUGAGAUGGGGAGAAUGUCCAGCGGGAGAAGUAAGGGCCAGGAGCUUGAAGGAACUGUGAAAUAAAGAUAUUUCACCUUGAAUGUAUCCAUGUUUGCCUGCUUUAUCCUGGCUCCCUGAGGAAAGUUUGCUCUCAUAAAAAGACCUGAAAAACACACUGAAAUGCAAAUGACUGAGGACAGCUUUCAAAUGGUGCCUCUCAAAGAAGGUAGUUCUUUAUUACAAAUGCAAUCUCGGCGAGGAGAUGCUGGAGAAUCUCUACCUUUAGAAGAGUCAAUCAAGUCAAGAAGAUGGAGCAAAGGGCUUCCCAGAAAGGUCCUUGGCCUUCCAAGAGUUCAAAGAGUCCCAGCCAGAAUUCAUAGAGAGGUGAAUGUGAGAAAAGAAAGCCCCGAGUCACUCUGAUUUCCUCUCCCAGCGACCCAAAACAUUAGAAGCAGAGGCACCUUACAAAUGAUCUAGACCUUUGGUUAAAAACGAGAUUCUCUAUUGUCUCUGCCACUUGCAUUCUUUCAGGCCCUCUGGCAGCUCCUAGGUUUUUGUCAUCCCAGUUUCCUAAUGAGAAAACAGGGCUUCCCUCUCCUGGAUUCAGUGAGAACAUUCCCAGCAAAGGAUUCUGCAUUGGUCCAGCUUAAGGGGUGCCCACCACCCCAGGACCAAGCACGGCAGCCCCGCAAAUAGAAGACCCGGUGGAUGCCUGGACUACAGGGUAAAGGAUGCUGACAAGGAGAGGGUUCCCCGUGAGGAAAACAUCACAGACACCACCCCUGGGUGGCUAAUGAGCUGGGCAACCACCCCAAGUUGAGUCACUACAAAGGGAACUUUCGCUACAGCAUUGUUUGUAAUAAUGAAAUUUUAUAAACUAUCCACACGUUUAUCAACAGGGAAACAAGUGAAUACAUUGGGAUGCCUCUUAGGAAAUUCUAUGCAGCCGUGGAAAAGAUUGAGGUAGAACUGUACAUCUCUAGAUGAAAAAUCUCUAUAAUAUAGUAAGUUUUUUUAAAAAGCAUGCUUCAGUCAUCCGGGCGCAGUGGCUCAUGCCUGUAAUCCUAGCACUUUGGGAGGCCGAGGUAGGCAGAUCAUGAGGUCAGGAGUUCAAAACCAGCCUGGCCAACAUGGUGAAACCUCGUUUCUACUAAAAAUACAAAAAAUUAGCCGGGCGUGGUGAUGGGCCCUUAUAAUCCCAGCUACUCAGGAGGCUGAGCCAGGAGAAUCGCUUGAACCUGGGAGGUAGAGGUUGCAGUGAACCAAGAUCACACCAUUGCACCCCAGCCCAGUGACAGUAUAAGACUCCGUCUCAAAAAAAUAAAUAAAAAUAAAAAAUAAAAAAGCUUGCUUCAAGGCAGUCUGCACAGUAUCAUCUCAUUUAUGUAAAAUGAAGCAAAAUAAAAGCCUAUGUUUUUAUAGAUUUAUGGACAGUAUUUAAAAUUCAUUCUUUAAAAGCUUGAAGGGCUAUACACCUCUAUAUUCAUGGUUUUUUUAAAUUUUUAACAAAGGCAUAUAUUGCUUUUGUAUUAAAAAAUGAAUAGAAAUGAAAAGGAAAAAGUCUAAUGCUUGUAUUUUGUGCUAAGGAAUACGCAGUACAAAGAAAUUAAAUGACCGGCACAAGAUCAUAUGCAGAAAAAUAAGUGAUAUUUAGACCCCGAUCUUCUAACCGCCCAGGAGGUGGACUUUCUUUAAGCAUCCGUCUGGUCUAGGUGCAGGGAUGGGAGGGUCGUGAGGCUGCCAGGGGAACCCAGGCCACAUGGCAGCAGGGAUGUGUCUGUGAGGAAGGAGCAAAGCCUGAAGUUGAGGAAAGGAGUGGGUGUUGAUCCUUUCUGCAUCUUCCUGAUGCCAGGGCCUCUUCCUAUCACUCCCUGCUCUGCAAGCUUACACUGGCCAGAGGACACAGACAUCUGAGGGCCAGGAAUGGGUUAAGCCAGAACCUUCUCUGGAGAGGAAAAGGCCUUACUCUCCUGGAACAUGGAAGGAGCUCAGUGGCUUCUCACUCCUGAGAAGUGAAGAGGCUCAGGUCUGAAUCAAUUAGAGUCUCUAUCUAAAAUGUAAACCAGGUUCCCAACCAAACGCCCCUUUUCCCUCAUCCUGGUCUUGUAGUCUCAUGAAGAAAAAGAGAACCUUUGGAACUGGUGCCCUUUGGAGGCCACAGCUGUUUGCUCCGUGGGGGCCCUGCCCUGAGGAGAGUGCUGGCAGCUCCGCCAGUCCCCUUCCUCACUCUCACGUUCCACUGACACAAACCCACCAGCAACCCGAUGCCCAGGCUAACUCCUCCUCACUCCAGAGCCUCUGCCCAGCACCCUAGGCCUCUGAUAGGAGUCAUGCGGGGGAAAUUUGGGGAGUAGAAGCCCCCAGCACUAAUCUCAAACGCCUAAGAUGCCCCCACCCCUACCAUGUCUUCACAAUUCAGGGUACCCAGAUUUCUAGUGUCCCUCCAGCCAAACAUGGUUUUGAUUCCAUUACCCUCUCCACUGUUUCACAUUUUCUGGAUACCCUCCUGGUCUCUGCACCAUAAGCUUCCCUCCUGAUCAUUCCCUGAUAUGCUGUCUCUUUAGCUAGUCUCGCUUGCUCUGAAAUCUGAUGUGAAGGCAAUUCUGUUCCAGUAUUUUCUGGCUAGGUGACCUUAUAGCACUUAUGGCAAAUUUAUUUUUUAGGGACAAAUAAUAAUUGUGUGUAUUUAUGGGGUGACAACUUUCUUAAUAUUCCUGUCUGGGCUUCAGUUUCUCAUAAGAAGGGAAUUAAAGUGAGGAAUAACUGAAGCAACAUAUUGCAGCCCAGGGUGGAGCCAAGUGUCAGGCCCCUUUCCUGGGGCUCCUCUGUGCCUCAUUCUGGCAGUCAAUGAAGGGAAAUAAGGAGCGGAAAACGAGGAAGGAGCUGGGGAGAGGAGACCACGGGGGAGCUGAAACCAGGAGGAAGUGUUUGCUGUGGGAGAAGUCGGGAAUUCUGGCUGACAACAAACCUGGAGAUGGGCUAUUCCAGAGGAGGACGUGGUCCGAGCCAUGGACACCAGGCCAGGAGAACAGGCCAGUGCACGGUGAAGCGUACCUUGAACCUGACAGUGGCUGAUGUGGCCGAGUGGUGAGCUCUGAGGUUAGAUCACCUUAAGCCAAAAUGUGAAGCAAAGGUUUUGAAGCCUUGGCUCAUGGUGAAAGCAAUUUGGGGGAAGUAGUGGGAGAGGAGGGCUCUACCACGUACCACCCACUGUGAGGCCUGGAGCAAGAACUUCUCUAACUUCUCCAUCAGAAGUUAGCAUAAGGGCUGGGCACCGUGGCUCAUGCCUGUAAUCCCAGCACUUUGGGAGGCUGAGGUGGGCAGAUCACCUGAGGUCAGGAGUUCGAGAUCAGCCUGGCCACGGUGGAGAAACCUGUCUCUACUGAAAAUACAAAAAUUAGGCUGGGCGCGGUGGCUCACGCCUGUAAUCCCAGCACUUUGGGAGGCCGAGGUGGGCAGAUCACAAGGUCAAGAGAUCGAGAUCAUCCUGGCUAACACGGUGAAACCCCGUCUCUACUAAAAAUACAAAAAAUUAGCCAAGCAUGGUGGCGGGCACCUGUAGUCCCAGCUACUCUGGAGGCUGAGGCAGGAGAAUGGCGUGAACUCGGGAGGCGGAGCUUGCAGUGAGCCAAGAUUGUGUCAAUGCACUCCAGGCUGGGCAACGGAGCGAGACUCCAUCUCAAAAAAAAAAAAAAAAAAAAAAAAUUUGCUGGGUGUGGUGGCACAUGCCUAUAAUCCUAGCUACUUGGGAGGCUGAGGCAGGAGAAUCGCUUGAAUCCUGAAGGUGGAGGUUGCAGUGAGCCAAGAUCACGCCAUUGCACCCAGCCUGGGUGACAGAGCGAGACUCCAUCUGAAAAAAGAGAGAGAAGUUAGCAUGAGGUGGAAGCCCCAGGCAGCGGCUUGAAACUGUACUCCAAGGAGGAAUUCCUGCAACGUGGCCAGGGCUCCAUUUCUUCAUAUUAGGCUUAUGGGCCCAAAAUAUGUUUGAAAACUCCAUUGGGUGUACUGAAAACAAGGCCAAAUGGUGUGAGAGGAGGUCUGUGUAUGAGAAGGGCUCAACGAGAAGGAAAAACAUCUAGCGAGAAUGAAAAUGAAGUAGUCAUUAGGACUGGUGAUGGAAUGACCCAGAAACAGAUGAUCAAGACCCUUCCAGUCUUGAAAUGAAGGCCAAGGUGGGCGAAGAGCACAGGUUCAGGGUCGGAUCUCCUGUUUUUUUGUUUGUUUGUUUAUUUGUUUUUGUUGUUUUGUUUCGAGACAGAAUCUCACUCUGUUGCCCAAGCUGGAGUGCAAUGGCACGAUCUCGGCUCACUGCAACCUCUGCCUCCCAAGUUCAAGCGAUUCUCAUGUCUAAGCCUCCCAAGCAGCUGGGAUUACAGGUGCCCGCCACGACGCCCAGCUAAUUUUUGUAUUUUUAGUAGAGAUCGGGUUUCACCAUGUUGGCCAGGCUAGUCUUGAACUGCUGACCUCAGGUGAUCCACCCUCCUCGGCCUCCCAAAGUGCUAGGAUUACAGGCGUGAGCUACCGCAACCAGCAGAUCUCCUGUUUUGAGUCCUGGAUGCAACCAUGUGUCUUUGGGGUGGCUCCUUUCUAUGCUUCAGUUCCUUUAUUUGCAAAGGGAGAUUAAAAACUCUGUCCUUAUCGGGCUCCAUGUAGCUUAAUUAGCAAAUGCACAUAGAGACAGAGACAGUAAGGUAUUAACAGAAGGGUUGGGACACAGAAAAGUAUAGUCAAGAGGAAAGGCAGAACCAGAGAGGAGCAUGGAGAAAUGUCAGAUCCUAGGCACAGGCAGGGGAACAUGUGUAGGUGUGGCCACCUCAAGGACCUUAAACACCAGCUUCCUCCCCUCACCCCAGAUCUGUCUCCAGGACAGUGUUGUCAAAGUCACACUCACCCCAGGACAGACAUGUGGCCUCCUGCGGGAAGGGUUCUGUUCUCCCUAUCCUAGCGCUUUUUUUGUUUUUCUGAAUGCUUCUAUUUGCUAAACACUGUGCUGAGAGCUUCACAUACAUUAUAUUUUAUAAUCCUCACAAUAUCCCAGGAAGGCAGAUAGGUAUGAUUUAGUAACUACAUUUUACAGAUGUGCACACUGCAGCAGUUACAUAGCUAGUAAUUGAAGCCAAAAAUCGAACACAAGUCAUUCCAGAACCCAAUAUUGUUACCAUUAGAGGAUUCUGCAAGUCCUCCUUCAGGCUGCCCUGGGGCGAGGGAAGGCUCCAAAGGAGAACCCCAAGCAUUCACAGUGGCCUCAGCUAGUGUAUGAUGAGUUUCCAUAUGCUGAAAAUAGUGUCUGGCAGAUCAUAAAAGCUUGGUAAUUAUGUAUUUAUUUUUAUUAUGAUUACUAUUAUUCUUAUAUUGGGGCUGUUUCCUGGGAGGCAGUCUAGAACAGUGGAAGUUAAGUUCAAGUACUGGCUUGAACUCCUGGUUAAACAUGCCAGAUGAUGUAUACUCUUUAACUCCAUUCUUCCUGAAACCCCAUUAAAACUAAACUAAAGUGUAUUAGUUAGGAUUCUCUAGAGGGAAGGACUCAUAGGAUAGAUGUAGAUAUGAAAAGGAGAAUAUUAAGGAGUAUUGACUCACACGAUUACAAGGUGAAGUCCCACAAUAGGUCGUUUGCAAGCUGAGGAGCAAGGAAGCCAGUUCGAGUUCUAAAACCUUAAAAGUAGGGAAGCUGACAGUGCAACCUUCAGUCUGUGGCUGAAGGCCAAGAGCCCCUGGUGAACCACUGGUGUAACUCCAUGAGUCCAAAAGCUGAAGAACUUGGAGUCCAAUGUUUGAGGGCAGGAAGCAUCCAGCAUGGGAGAAGGAUGAAGGCUGGAAGACUGAUAUUCAAUAUUAACCAUCACAUUAAAACACAACAAAAAAUAUUACAAACUCACAAAAACUACGGGAAAGGAGAUAAGAGCAACACAAUUCUGGAGGCUAGGAAGCACAUUUGACAAGUACCAUAUUAAUAAGUUGGACCUGUCUAAGCAGGCCUGAGAAAGUUCAAUCCUAACUCAGACAGGAACAUCCUACAUUAUAUCUCAGAAGCCUCAAAGACUCAGGAAUGAGCGAUAUAAGAUUCUUCUAGAAAGGAGAGGGGCAAAAUUGGCACUGAAAACAAGAUUUGUUAAAAGGUUGCUCAAAAAGUGGGUAGAUGCCAUGUCCUCUCCCCUGCUCCACACUUCCAUCCUACCAAAGGCUAGACCUCUGUUCUCUAGAGAUGAUAAAAUAGUUUCAACAGUUUCAAUGGGACAGGAGGCACAAUUUGCGACACAUGAAGACAUGGAAGUUAAAUGCCAGUUUAGACCACCAGCCUUCUUCCACUGAAUGGUAAAAGUUAGGCUUAUAUUCUCUAACAGGAGAUAAAGUUUCCCAGAGAAACUUUGUCAAAUGACAUCAAGAGUUUCCCAAGGGAAUGGCCCAGCUAGAUUACCUGCAGUGAAAUCUACACUUGGCAAGCUCUGCCCAUCCAGUGGUAAGUACUACCACACAGCUGUUUGGUACCCUGUUCAUAAGCAGUCACUAAGAAGCACCAGGCGUUUGAAAAAAGCUUCUACCAGCAAAAGGCCGAACAAACAAACAGAAGACAACAAAUCUUGGAGAAAACAAAGACUAUGCAUGGGGAAGAAAACUCUUAUGUACUUAGAAAGUUGUAAUAUUGCAUCUACAAAAUCAAGAAUGGGACGCUAAUAAAAAAAAUAUUGGCCAGGCAUGGUGGCUCACACUUAUAAUCAAAGCACUUUGGGAAGCCAAGAUGGAUCACUUGAGCCCAGAAUUUUGAGACCAGCCUGGGCAACAUGGUGAAGACCCAUCGCUAUGAAAAAAUACAAAAAUUAGCUGGACAUGGUGCUGCGUGCCUGUAGUCCCAGUUACUUGGAGGGCUGAAGCAGGAGGAUUUCUUGAGCCCGGGAGGUUGAGGCUGCAGUGGGCUGUGAUCAUACCACUGGACUCCAGCCUGGGCAGCAGAGUGAGACCCUGUCUCAAAAAAAAAGAAUGGAAUUACUGGGGAACAAAAAAGAACUCUUGGAAACUAAAUAUGAUAGGAUAAAGUUUUAACAAUCAAUAGAUGAUUGAAAAAUAAGUGGAGGAAAUUAAUCAGAAAGUAGAGGUAAGAGUUAGGAGAGAAGAAAAAAGAGAAUUAUAAGAUGCAUUCAAGAAAAUAUUCAAAUUACAGGAAUUCCAAAAAGAGAUAAUAGAGAAAAUAGAGGUUAAAAAAGUAAAUUAGGCUGAACAUGGCAGCUCACACCUGGAAUCCCAGCACUUUAGGAGGCCAAGGUGGGAGGAUCACUUGAGGCCAGGAGUUCGAGAUCAGCCUGCUUAAUAUAGCAAGACCCCAUCUCUAAAAAAAUAAAAAAUAAAUUAUCUAGGCAUGGUGAUGGAUGCCUGGUGUCCUAGCUACUUGGGAGGAUGAGGAAGGAGGAUCGCUUGAGCCUAGGAGUUUGAGGCUGCUGUGAGCUAUGAUCAUGCCACUGCACCCUAGCCUUAGUGACAGAGUGAGACUUCAUCUCUAAAAAAAUAAAAAUAAAUACAAUUCAAUCAAUCAGCCAAGCAAAGUGGCUCAUACCUGUAAUCCCAGCACUUUGGGAGGCCAAGAGGGGAGGAUUACUUGAGUCCAGGAGUUUGAGACCAGCCUGGGCAACAUAGU
This 35591-nucleotide long non-coding RNA is filed under the name Homo sapiens (human). RNAcentral describes it as "non-protein coding lnc-CDON-2:1". The record is from RNAcentral. Lineage: Eukaryota; Metazoa; Chordata; Mammalia; Primates; Hominidae.